GAGUAACACGUGAGCAACCUGCCCCUGACUCUGGGAUAAGCCUUGGAAACGAGGUCUAAUACCGGAUAUGACGCUCCUACGCAUGUGGGGGUGUGGAAAGAAUUUCGGUCGGGGAUGGGCUCGCGGCCUAUCAGCUUGUUGGUGGGGUGAUGGCCUACCAAGGCGACGACGGGUAGCCGGCCUGAGAGGGCGACCGGCCACACUGGGACUGAGACACGGCCCAGACUCCUACGGGAGGCAGCAGUGGGGAAUAUUGCACAAUGGGCGCAAGCCUGAUGCAGCGACGCCGCGUGAGGGAUGACGGCCUUCGGGUUGUAAACCUCUUUCAGCAGGGAAGAAGCGAAAGUGACGGUACCUGCAGAAGAAGCGCCGGCUAACUACGUGCCAGCAGCCGCGGUGAUACGUAGGGCGCAAGCGUUGUCCGGAAUUAUUGGGCGUAAAGAGCUCGUAGGCGGUCAGUCGCGUCUGCUGUGAAAACUCGAGGCUCAACCUCGGGCUUGCAGUGGGUACGG
RNAcentral lists this ribosomal RNA (512 nucleotides) under actinobacterium enrichment culture clone E72. RNAcentral describes it as "bacterial SSU rRNA". It matches the Rfam family "Bacterial small subunit ribosomal RNA", at positions 108 to 635 of the family's 1533-position model. The record is from RNAcentral. Lineage: Bacteria; Bacillati; Actinomycetota; Actinomycetes.